Aquila chrysaetos chrysaetos is the source of this 462-nucleotide long non-coding RNA. RefSeq lists it as uncharacterized. The record is from RefSeq and is a predicted model, not a curated record. The transcript has 2 exons. Lineage: Eukaryota; Metazoa; Chordata; Aves; Accipitriformes; Accipitridae.
UGGGGCCGGGAUCUGCAAGGAGAGAGAGGAUUCAGAGAAAGCCUUGCCUUCGAGUGGGAAAAGAGGAUGGGGGGGGGGGGGGGUUGUGCUGCCUAAAAGGAGGUCCUCCAUGGCUGAAGCAGCGGCUGCAGGGAGGAGGCAGCCAGGAAGCCGCCCCUAUAGACGUAGCUAUACUCCUCCAGGCUUCUGCAUAUAUAUUUCCACUGCUGUCUGCCUGUGCUGGAGUGGGAACGUGCGUCUCCGAAGCAGCACGGGGAUUAAUGGGCUGUAAGGAACAGGGCAGCUCUCGCCGCACCGUCCCUGUCCCAACCGGCAGCGGGUGCAGCCCUGGGACGGCCAAGCCCCGAGCCAGUUCUGCUCCAGCAGCUCCUCCGAAACAUCCCAGCUCAAAGCAAUUUUACAAGAAGCCUUCACUUCCAGGGAGUCUGACCUUUUCAUUAAUAAAUCAGCUGUGUUAUUGAA